This 29-nucleotide non-coding RNA is filed under the name Rattus norvegicus (Norway rat). Lineage: Eukaryota; Metazoa; Chordata; Mammalia; Rodentia; Muridae. The record is from RNAcentral.
CCUUCUACCGUAUGGGUUCCAGGGAUUGA